AGGGCACAUCCCAGCUGAGCCUCUCAGGGGAGGGAUGUGGCUUUGAAAGACACAAUAAAGACUUUUCAGACCACCGAGCGUGGUUUGUGUGGCACCUGAAAAUGUCACCAGGCAAACAGGCUCUGCCUGGCGGGAAUGAAAUGCCUGAAAUGCUGCCUGGGCCCUGCCAGGGGGGUACAAGGCACAGGUUUGGAACCCUUUCAGCCCAAAGAUUAAAGAAACACGUUUCGAAAAAGAGAAAUGGAAAAGAAGCGAAAGCUCAUCCGCUAAACAUGGGGAGGAGGGAAAACCCGGAGGAGAUUUCUGCCGGAGUCCGGAACGGAGUCGGCAAAAGGGAAAACCCAGACAGGAAUCUAGCCAGAGUUUGGAAUGGAGUCGGCAAAAAGGAAAACCCGAACAGGAAUUCAGCCAGAGUCUGGAUUUAUCCCGGCGUCUGGAAGGGACUCGGCAAAAGGGAAAACUAGGACCGGAUUGAUCCAGGAGUCCGGAAUGCACUCGGCAAAAGGCAAAACCCAGACUGGAAGCUCGUCGGAGUCCGGAAUGGAUCCGGCAAAAGGGAAAACCCAGACUAAAUUUCUCCCGGAAUUCGGAAUGGACUCAGCAAAAGGGAAGAUCCUCUUGAGCUUGCAGUUGUUUUGCUCCACUUUUAAUUUUUUUCUAACGUUCUAAGGUAUUAUUCAAUCUCUCAGAGCAUUUUCCAGAAGCAAGAUAUUGUUCAGCAUUGCUUAACACCAUUAGUUUUACAAAGAACAUGACUUCAGCAGAAAGAUUUGAAUUUUUCUAUUGACGUCUUUACUUAGAGGAGGUUCAUGGUGAAGCCGAAUGUAAUGAGAAAUAAAAACAUCUGUAUUUUUGAUACAGCCAAAUCUCUAGAUAAGGAGGCAUGGGAUGAAGACAAAUACCUGUCACAUGGCUGUACUCCUCUGCUGAGUAGAUUUAAAUAUGUUUUACUCUUUUUUUGUCAUUCUUUUUUCACCCCAGACUUGCCUCUUGUCCCAGUCUAUAAACCAUUUUCUAACUGUCCUCUUGCUUCCCAUCCAGAUGAGUAUUUCCAAACCCUCACCUAACACCAGACCUCUUUUAUUUUUAUCAGUCCUCACACCAUCCUAUUUCUCUAACUACAACUCAGUUUAUCCCUUCAAUUUCUGCUUCCCCUUUCCAUUCACAGCUUAUCUUCUUUCUGUAUUUAAUCCUGGUUCUCUUCCCAUUCAGACCCACAUUUCCCAGAUUAUCCCAUCGAGGGUUUGCUGACCCUCCCUGUAGCAAAACAGAAAACAGAAUUCUGUUUUCACCCUUUUGCAUUUGCAGCAGCUCAUUUUCCCUCUCCAUUCAGAAACCCCUUCUACUAGGAACAGGGUCACUGAUCCCAAAGGAGAUCCAAGUUUUUCCCCUAAACCUGCACACACCCUCUCCUGAAGCAUCUAAGAGCAAGAUUACACCAGGGAUUGUUCAUAAUUCAGUUUUUCAAGGAUUUUCUGAGUGUGAGUAAGGAUGUGCAGGAAAAAGAAUAAUAAUUAAACAUCCUGUAAUUUACUUUUUAAAGCUCUUUAGGGCUACAGGUGUAGAGCUUCACGUUACAUGUCCCAGAACAAGCUGAGAUGUCAGUCCAGCACUCGGAGCAUUACUUGGGCUGUUUGCAGGAGCUGCUGAGCACCUUCGGGCAGAACUGGGUAACGUGGUUGGAGAACUGGGAUGUGACCCCGGAGCAGGGACCAUCCUGUGGCUCUGAGCCCAACAGGUUCCUGACACAGAAGGUCUUUGCAAAGUUCUGUGUGAUACAGCUACAUAUCCUUGCUUUGAAUUUUGAUCUUAUAAAGCUGUCAAUAUUAUUCACUUCUUGUGUAGUGACAGGCAAUCACCUCAAACCUGACAAAUAUUGAGUAAUCUACUCAACCUUUUGCCAUUCAGAGGGAAGCUGACAAAUCUUUCUUCUUGGCUAUCUUGUUUGUAACAACUUUUUUGACCAAAGAACAGCACUUUUUCUUCAGACAGCAGAAAUCUCCAUCCCAAACUUCCUGACCAUUCAGUGAGCAAGUCAUCUCUGUGCAGGAACCCACACAGUUUAAAAGCAGCAUAAUUCCCAUUUAUUCCUUCAAACAAUUAUUUUAAAUUCCUCUUGCAGUGAGAGAACAGCCUUAAAAUAGGCUCCAUACUUGAACAUUAGUCCCAGAAAAGCAGAUUCCAGUGAAUUGUGAGGCAUUUCUGUCACCUGGUGCCAAACCCAGCCACUCUGAUGUUAAGGUAAAAACAUCCUGAUUCUGCCCAGCAGGAUAAGGAAAACAUAUUUUGUGUUGCUUACACUCUCAUUGGUUCCUUGCCAAAAAGACAGUGUUUUUAAAACUUUUAAAUUAUUCACUUUUCUAACUUAAGCAUUGCAAUGUUUGUAACCUUUCCAUCCAGUUUCUGGGGAUGCUCUGGUGGUCCAUGGCAGAGGCUGGACCCUGGCAGUCACCUCUUAUUUAAAUUAUGGGAGAAUCCAAAGAAAAGAGAUGUUAAUGAGGAGGGAACAAUCUCUCCAGACACAUUGUUCAUAGCACAUAUUGAUUUCUAGCAUGUCAUGGCAAACAAAAGUUUAACAACUAUAAUUUUAUGAAAACGACAAUUGAACAGCACAUCUGGUGAGAAUUCAUUUAUGCUUUUUACAUUUUUAACAACCUGGCUAUUUUUACUCUCCUCAUCCUCUCAAAGGGAGUGCAAUGUAAUGAAGCAUGGAGCUGGAACUAGGCCACACCUCAGCUGGAAAAUGUCAAAUUCUAUUAUGCCAUCUUCAAAAGCAUAAAUCAUAGCUGCACAUUUUUAAAGGUAUAAAUGAGGGAGGGAACACCAUAAAACAUUUAUUUGAACUCAUGCAAUGUAUUUAUAGUACAGAAUGGUAGAGUAUGGGAUUUAUGUAAUGUAAAAAUAUACCAAACAUUUAAAAGUUGACAUCUAUGAUACACAGUAUCUUCUCUCUGAUGAGAAAUCCCUUUGCGCACUGACCUUUCUUGAAUUUAAUUUUUCUGGACGUCAGCUAACAAACUAACCUGCUCAAUGUUAGUUCUUUUGUCACUUAAAAUCCUUGUUUUAUAUAGGACAAUAAUUUUAAUUGUCUUAAGUUUAAAGAAAUGCUUGAUUUAUAUAAUACCCAGGAAUCUACAUUUCAUUUUUUUUAAAUAUUAAAUUGUACCUUUCAUGCAUUAUUUCCCACGUUUCAUUGCUUAAAUUAUGUAUGGGGAGGAGACUCUGUCUCUUUGGCAGGAGCAGUACCAUAGUUCAUAACUCUUCAAAUAAAUAAAUAGUAUUUACUGAGCAUUUAGGAGGAGGAAGGAAGAUUGUUAUACUCUCUUGCCUUCUCUCACUCUUACUGUUUUCUUGAAUACUCCAUUUAUUCCCAGAGAUUUUAACUGCCUCACUACAGCCACUUUUCUGUGGUUUGGGAGACACUAAACUGUCAGAGGAGCAGAGAUGACCAUCUACUGCUUUGACCAACACUGCUGCCAUGGUGGACAAACCUUUGACUCAGACAUUUAAACACAGAUUAAAUGGAGGACAGAUUAAAGGGGAGGACAGGUUGAGGAUACUCCUGAGCCUGUUUUGCUGAGGAUUUGCAUUCCAGAAUCUCACACCUGGCUGCUGAACACACAGGUCCCUGUGUCACAUUGCUGGAAGCCAUCCAAGCAGUGACAGGGGUUUCUGUUCCACAUUGAUUCAUUCAUCUGGAAUUCCUAAUCCUGGAUCUGAAGGUGAAGGCAGUGCAGGCUGUUUGCUCAGAACUGUCUCAGGUCACCCUUGGAUGGGAUGGGGCAGGAGGGAAAAGUGAAUUUUCUCUACUCAGUGAUACACACAUCAACCUGUAUAAAUACAUAAACUACCUGAUCUUUUCAUUUUCUUCACUGAGUAGACCAUAUAGUUUUUUACUGCUUUUAGGAGAAAGCUCUUGAUCCUAACAAUGCUGAUGCCAUUUAACUUUAUUUUGUAUCAUUUGUUACCAGCUUAUAUUUCCACACUGUUCUUGUGCAGUAGAUAUUUCAGUAUUGAACAUUUGAAAUCUUAUCUACCAUUCUGUUCUGACUGAUUUAAUCUCCUUGGCUUUAAAUUGUCUGUCUGAAAUCACUGCAGAAUGGAUCAAGAGGGGAACACUCAGCUCAUCUUAGAAGGAGGUUAAGAUGCUAUUCUUGAGUUAUUCUUAAGAGUUCUUAACCUGUUCUUAAAAUUUUAAGGAGCUUUUCUUAGACUGAAGUAUUGCAAGGAGUAAGUUGAAGAUUUAAAGGUGAUAAAAUAGUUUAAGAAUAUUAUGGAUUGUCUUGCACCGCCUCAGUAGUGAUUUCUUGCCCUUCCUGACCACUUCAGUCUGGGCAACACAGCCCUGUGCCACAGCCACUCUGGAAAGCAGGUGAUGAACCAGACUAGCUUUAAAAAAAUGAUGAAGAAUUUGAAGGAAAAAAAAAAAAAAGUAAAAAAUAAAAGUCAGGGCAUGAGCAGCUGGAAGGGAAGGCUGUUCCCUGGCAGCAGGGACUGAGCAAAGGGCAGACAACACCCAGUGCAGUCAGUAAAGGGUUAAUGUUCAGCGGCUCUGCUCAGCCCUGGACAGACACAUUCUCACUAAUUUCCAGCCUUCCUCUCUAACACUUAGCUUAGAACUCAGCAGAAACCGUUUGGGUUGUGUUGUUGUUGUUGUUGUUUUGGGGGUUUUUUGUUGGGUUUUUUUUUUUUUUUUUGAGUAGACAUUUGGCAACUUGUGAAGUGUCAGAUGAGCACUGGUGAAUUUGAGAACUGGGGUGAACGUUUGUGUCAGGGAAGGAAAAAAUCUUCACAGCAGAAUGCACCCUCUAACCUGAGAGUGGAGGCACCUGAAAGACAGUAACUUUAUUCUGUUCCAAUUACAUUAAAAGCCAAAUCCUGCACUGCUGACGCUUUACAGACUUUACAACUAUUGAAAUCUGGUUUAAGGGACUGGCUGCACACUGGAGACUUAGUCAGUAUAAACUGAAGGUGGUGAGGGUUUAAACUGGGGCCUAAAUAUAAUUUACCAUGAGACAUUAUGGCUGAAAAUUCCUAUUUAAGUGCCAGCAAGGCAGUGAGAGCAGUCUGUAGGAUCCAGGAAAGCAGGAUUCCUGCUGGGGUGUCCUGUCCAGCAUCAAGGCUGUGGAAGUCAAGGCAGUGAGGGCUCUCCUGCCUUGGUUCCUGGGGUGCAGUCCCAAAAAAUGCCCAGGUCCAACUGUUCAGCCUCCCUGAUUUUUUCUAACCCCCCUGGUCCCUUCUCUAUGGAUUCUCAUCUACAUGAUAAAACACUUCAUAAAUCUAAAACAUAAUUUACUGGACUAUUGUUAGGGAAUUUUAGAUUUAUCAUCACUCCUACUAAUUCCAUUUAAUCUAUUAAUUUACCUUCUAUUAAUUUAUCACAGCUUUCUGGGUUGGCUGGGUUUUUUCCCUGCUCAUCUGCGAGGUGUUGGAUGCUGACAGUGACGGAAACCUCACAGGAAGCAUUGACAAGGUCUGAAAAAUAAUUCUGGAGCCCUUGUGUUGCUAAGGAAGUUUCAUCAGUAGAACCAACGAUUUGAGAUUGUUUUCUCAGCAGAGCAUGAGAUAAAUGAGAACUAUUUCCAGAUUCAGUAAUUUUGAAAUCUGAAGGAACGAUCUUAUCAGUUUGCUGGCCACCCUGAACGGAAUGCAUCAAAAAAGAUUAAUAGGGAACAGGGAUACCUGUUUUCUUUCAAAGCAAAAAAAGCCCUGCAAAAAUAUUUUAUGGAGCAGUUUUUACCUACUUCACUUUGCAUUAAAUAUAAAAUCUAUAUGUUCUGUAUAACUAGCUUUUCAUUCUCCACUGCUGGGAUAAGAAAAUUGGUAAACUAAAAGAAAAACAGGUGAAAUUCAUUACAUUAGAAAAGAAGAUUCUCUAUGAGGUCUGAGCUGCUGGAAUAUUUAAUGUGGCAUCCUCCAAAAUUUUCCCAGUGGGUAAAGGAAUCUCUCAGGAAAACUUUGUUUACACAGUUUAACCUAAGAUGCAUCUGUAUGGAGAAAAGAAGGAUUUUUUUUUUUUCCGUCAGCUACAAAAUUUGACUGUUUUGAAAUCCCCCAUCCUCAGGUGUAUGACAAAAAAUGUUAAGACUAAUAAAGAUAAAUAACGUGACUGCAAAAACCCAUGUCCAAAUACAAACAAAAGAGCAACUUCUGUUUGUUGAAUCUCUUCCCUAUGUAGCAAGCCCUGGCUAUUUUAAUAAAUAUGAAAUAUUCCAAUUCCAUAGGAUCAGGCCUGGGCCCAAGAGUGGCAGGUGAUCUGUUCCUGGGGCUCCAGCAUUCCUGAGCCAUCCGAGGGGAAUACAUGACACAAAUCUGUGCAGCUCAAUUUAAUGUGCCUGGUUAAACGAGCACAAACAUUCCUGUGCAGCGCAUUUGCAGCACGCAGACAUUUGUGUCACAGUAUCCCUGCUCAGGAUAUAUUUGGAAGAUAAUUGGAGGGGAUGAAACCUUUUAAAGGGAUCAUUAGAAUGUGUAGAAUACUUCUGAAACAAAGAAACAAAAAUCUGCUUUUUUUAAAGUUAGUUUAACUGAGCUACUUCCAGACAAAAGCAUAUUCUGGUAAUGAUAGUUGUUGAGUGAUGAAAACUGUAUUUCACUUAAGAAUCUAUUCUUUUUAUUAGAAUUGUAAUCCUUAAUUUUUACUUCAAUACUAGGAGUCAUAAUCCUAUUUUAACAGCAAUUAAUCUGGUGUUCAUUUACCACUGAGCAAUUUUCAAAGUGCAUUUGACUGAGCUACAAAUAAAACCUCUCCAAGUUCAAAA
Taeniopygia guttata (zebra finch) is the source of this 6761-nucleotide long non-coding RNA. Ensembl lists it as uncharacterized. Lineage: Eukaryota; Metazoa; Chordata; Aves; Passeriformes; Estrildidae. The record is from Ensembl.